RNAcentral lists this long non-coding RNA (276 nucleotides) under Prunus dulcis (almond). Its description in RNAcentral is "sRNA ncRNA". The record is from RNAcentral. Lineage: Eukaryota; Viridiplantae; Streptophyta; Magnoliopsida; Rosales; Rosaceae.
AUGGGGAAGAGAAAGUCGUCGUCGAAGGCAAAGCUUGUAGCUAAGAAGCCAAGGGAGAAGCUUGAUACAGUAUUCUGUUGCCCCUUCUGCAACCACGGGAGCAGCGUCGAUUGUGACAUUGACAUGAAGAACAUGAUUGGAGAGGCUCUCUGCAGCAUUUGCCAAGAGAGCUUCAGCACAACCAUCACAGCUUUGACUGAACCCAUAGACGUCUACAGUGAAUGGAUAGACGAAUGUGAGCGGGUCAACACCAUUGUUUUUGAUGAUCUAGCUUAG